CCUACGGGUGGCAGCAGGCGCGAAAACUUGGCAAUGCGAGAAAUCGUGACCAGGGAACUCCAAGUGGCUGGGGUAAGACCCAGUCUUUUCUUGACUCUUCAAAGGUCUUGGAAUAAGGGGUGGGUAAGGACGGUGCCAGCCGCCGCGGUAAUACCGGCGCCUCAAGUGGUAGUCGAUUUUAUUGGGCCUAAAACGUCCGUAGCCUGUUUGGUACAUUCGUGGGUAAAUCAACCAGCUCAACUGGUUGAAUUCUGCGAGCACGGCCAGACUUGGGACCGGGAGAGGUGUGGGGUACGCUCAGGGUAGGGGUAAAAUCCUGUCAUCCUGAGCGGACCACCUGUUGCGAAGGCGCCACACUAGAACGGAUCCGACGGUCAGGGACGAAGCCUAGGGGCACGAACCGGAUUAGAUACCCGUGUAGUC
RNAcentral lists this ribosomal RNA (423 nucleotides) under uncultured archaeon. RNAcentral describes it as "bacterial SSU rRNA". It matches the Rfam family "Archaeal small subunit ribosomal RNA", at positions 322 to 746 of the family's 1478-position model. The record is from RNAcentral.